This is a long non-coding RNA of Oncorhynchus keta (chum salmon), 1249 nucleotides long. RefSeq lists it as uncharacterized. NCBI's taxonomy places the organism in Eukaryota, Metazoa, Chordata, Actinopteri, Salmoniformes, Salmonidae. The record is from RefSeq and is a predicted model, not a curated record. The transcript is spliced from 4 exons.
GGCAGACAGAGAGAGAAAUGGAGAGGUGGGAAGAGAGUGGAAGGCAGACAGAGAGAGAGAGGUGGGAAGAGAAGUGGAAGGCAGAUAGAGCGAGAGAAACAGAGAGGUGGGAAGAGAGUGGAAGGCAGACAGAGCGAGAGAAACAGAGAGGUGGGAAGAGAGUGGAAGGCAGACAGAGAGAGAGAGAAACAGAGGUGGGAAGAGAGUGGAAGGCAGACAGAGAGAGAGAGGUGGGAAGAGAGUGGAAGGCAGACACAGAGAGGAGAGAGAAACAGAGAGGUGGGAAGAGAGUGGAAGGCAGACAGAGAGAGAGAGGUGGGAAGAGAGUGGAAGGCAGACAGAGAGAGAGAGAAAGACAGCAGUACAAUUGUACUUAGACUUGAGUAUUUCAACAACUGUUCACUUCCAACUUGAUAGUCAAUCAUAUCUACCUCACGGAGGAAGGAUGGCCAGCCACACAGCAGGGUGAUGUUUACUAAGGAGGAGAAGGAAGCUGUGCUGACCGAGAUGCAUGCUGGCCAUUUCGGAGUGAAGCACAUGAUUGCCAAAAUCAACCUCCGAUUCCUCUGACGAGGAAUUGUCAAGGAGGUGGACAUCUGGGCAAUUGAAAUAAUAUUUUGUUUAUCAAUCACAUUUAUUAUAUCUGAAAUUAUUAUGAUUUCAAUGAAUGUCAUAUCAGAGAGCACAAAAUGUUUCAAUCAGUACCCUGUCAAGCCUGCCAGAAGUUUCAUAGUGCGAAGACUGUGGCGCCAGAGUUGAAGCACAUCAGUUGUUUCACCAAUGCACAUGAUCGGGGUGGACCUCAUCGGACCCUUCACGAAAUCCAGGAAUGGCAGCAGCUGGUGUCUGACGGCGACCAAUCACCUUACCAAGAGGGUGGAGGCAAUACCCAUUAAGGACGAGACUGGCGAGGCCAUGGUUCUCCUGAGGUCAUCUUGAGUGACCGAGGUCAUGGACGCUGGAACAAGGGCAAUAUUUGAGAUACACAGAUGAACUAAAAACACUAGCACUGCAAACACAGCAGUGCCUCUUCCUCUUCAAGUCCCCCUUUCCGAGACUGGCUGCCUGUUGAGAACAAGUGACAGGCAGAACCUCUCACCCAGACAGUAACCACCUCCUUUAUAUUCCACACCCCCAGAAUUCAGUAUUUCAGUCUAUGAUUGCCAUGUGAGUGUACAAAAACAUCUGUGAAAAUAAAUUGACACAACUGUCCCAAAAAAUAUCAGUUUAUGUAUUAAAAUCUUAAAUA